RNAcentral lists this long non-coding RNA (2412 nucleotides) under Nicotiana tabacum (common tobacco). RNAcentral describes it as "long non-coding RNA (NTAB_LNC018890)". The record is from RNAcentral. Lineage: Eukaryota; Viridiplantae; Streptophyta; Magnoliopsida; Solanales; Solanaceae.
UAGCCCAAGCCUUACCCGACCCAGUCCCUCUUUAAACAUCCAGACGACUCCGUUUAAGACUUUUGAUCUCCACCAUUCAUUUAAUCUCAUCCUACGGACGAGAAUUGACCACCUCAUCCCCAUAUAACUGUCUGAACCGGGUCCCCUACCCCCAAAAAAUCCUAGAGAUUGAGUCCUUUUGAACGACUAGCUUUCCUGGUUUCUCUCCGAUCAUUUCAAUUCCAGCAGGUAUAUAGUUAUAUUCCCCUUUUGUGUACAAUUUUAAUUUCGUCACAUUUUCAAGCUUUGGCCAUGUUUCUGUAGUUCUUCAAAUAUGGUUUUGUUAAUCGAUUAGUUAGGCAAUUUCGCCUGCCAUCUUUGGAAUUAAUUGUUGUUUGUUGCAUGCUCUAAAAACUGGUCUUUUCUACUUAUUGAAUAUACUUUAGCCUUAAUUAGCCAUUAAUCUAGUUUAGGGUUUAUUACUUAUUUCUUCAUUAAUAUGUUUAACCAAGUAUUGGAGUUAAAGUAGAGGGACAGAAUUAAAAGAAGAGAUAAAAGCAGUUGAAGGACUAUAGAGUAAAACACAGAACUUCGGGGGGGGGGGGGGGUAAUUGAAAUAGGGAAAUUUGGGGAAUAUUUCUGCUAACUGCCUAAGAAGGUUCUAGAAUAGAGUGGAAGAGAUUUAAAAGCAAUAAACUGAAGAAUUUAGGUUAAAAAAGGAUUUAAGAGUCAAAAAUGAAGAAGUAAGAGGGGGCUGUAAAAUAAAGCAAGAAUAAUGUGAAUUGCCAGCUGUCAAAAUCUGUUAAAAAGAUGCUUCCUUCCUAUUUUUCAGCUGACACAUUCCUCAGAUUAUUCCCUCACCAUUGUGCAUAUAACACACCCUCAUAUUCUACAUAAAGACCUCACAUUCCCUCUCUCACACACACACACACUAAUUCUCUAUAGAUUUCUCACUCAUAUUCCCUUAUCCUCACUUAUUUCUCUAAAAAAACUCUGAAAUUCAAUUUAGAUACAGAAAAAUCCAAAAAAAGAAGAAGAUUCAAAGCUGUUUCUAAGUCCUACUCUGUUGCUGCAUAUCUCUUGGAUUUCCAUAGUUGUUUGAGUUAAAGAAUUCACCAUUUUUGCUACUGUAUUCAUUCUGCUGUGGUUGAGCCAUAGCUUUGAAGUUCAGACUUCUCUUUGUUUUUCUGUUGCUGUUUCUCUGCUAGUAGGUGCGUUCAUCCUCAUUUGCUAUUUUCUACUUGUAUCAUAAAUGAAAUCCUAACAUGCUCAUGCCUGAUUCAAUAGAUCCAGUGGGUUUAGUUGAUGAAGUUUGUUUAAAUUUCCAUCUCUUUAACAUGCGGUGUUGCUUGUAUGUUUUAACUAAGCAAUUUCAGUUGUUAUCACUCUCAUGAAUAAUUCGCUACUAGAAUUUCUAUUGAGUUUAAAUAUGAUUCAAGUGUAAGGUGACUUUAAGGGUGAUGAAAUCGGGAAUCUAGUCACCUGCUGUUUAGAUUCACUUUUGAAGAAGCUAGCUCAGUGGAUUCCGAUUAUAAAGUGCAGUGGUUCCAUGGUUGCUCCCUCAAUGAAAGUAGUAACUAUAGAUUAAUUCUGUAACAUUUAAGACUGGACUGUAAAAUAAUGCUUGUAAUUGAUCGGUUGGUUUGUUGAUGUAAUUAGUUCAAUUUGAUAGGCUAUGAACCUCUCACGUGAUUCAGAUUAAUUGCAAAUCAAUGCUGGACUUGAAUGGUUGCAGAUUUUGUCCUAUAAUUCGUGCAGUUUUUUGUUAAUUUUUGGAGUUUGUGUUCACUCUAUUGGGCCUAAAAGAUAGAAUUGUCCAUUUUGUGGCCUGAUUAAUUAAUGAUGGAUUCUGGACUUCACCAAGGAGAGCCCAUUGAAGACCUGGGCAUUUGAGAUCUAAUUAGCCUCAGUCACAAUUCGAAUCAUUCUAUACAGUAACUGGGGAACACAUUUGUCUUCACCUCUGUUCUUGAUUAAAAUAACCAAAUUAGAAUUAGUAGGACAACUAUUUAUAUAUAAUUACGUCCAUCUUUCCCCACUAGUUAAAUUCCAUAGGCAUGUUUUUAAACUGUUGGUAAUUGUAACUUGAUUCUGAAUAUGUAAAAUAAUCCUUUAACUCACGUGCUCUCAUUCUUGGAUUUCAAUGAUCAAAAUCAUGUGUGCAUGAUUCACAAUAUGUGCAUACCACCUAUGACCUUACACCAAAAUCUCAAACCCGCAAAAAAUUGAAUUUAGCAAGGCUAAUCCACUUUUCUAUAACUAAUCUACUCUUUUUCUUCCACAACUAAUUUUCAUAAGCUUUUGGCCCCCACAGCAACCUCAAACUAGUAUAGAGAAAACUGAUUCUUAUAAACACCGUAGUGUGCUUUAGGCGCGACUUAAAAAGAUGAUUCAUCGUGACUAUGGGUACAGUUCCCGUGGCAUAGUCAUGAU